Juglans regia (Persian walnut) is the source of this 3392-nucleotide RNA transcript. It is a transcript of the gene named RNA polymerase II C-terminal domain phosphatase-like 2, with no coding region annotated. The record is from RefSeq and is a predicted model, not a curated record. The transcript has 16 exons. Lineage: Eukaryota; Viridiplantae; Streptophyta; Magnoliopsida; Fagales; Juglandaceae.
AAGGCUUUGUUUGUAACCGUAGGCGCAGAGAGAGAGAGAGAGAGAGAGAGCGAAGAGCUCUGAGAGUGAGACGAAGCAGCAAAAAAAUAGAGGUUAACCAGAAAAUCAACCCUCAAUUCUCCCACCGAUUCCUCCCAUUUUACAGACAUUUACGUUUUCUUCUGUUUUCCUCGUUUGUUUACCUAUCGAAGUUGAUUUAAAUGAGUCGUUUAGGGUUUAAAUCGGUGGUAUAUCACGGCGACUUGUGCUUGGGAGAGCUGGACGCUAUUCCGGUCAAGGACCAGAAUUUCCAGUUCCCGAAUCACGAGAUUCGUAUCCACCACAUAUCGCCACAGAGUGAACGAUGCCCUCCGCUCUCAAUUCUCCAAACGAUUUCUUCGUUUUCCGUUCGGUGCAAGCUCGAGUCGUCCUCGCCGGUCGAACAGUCCCAUCUGAUCACUCUCCACGCCUCCUGCUUCUACGAAUUCAAGACGGCGGUGGUAUUGAUUGGAGACGAAGAGAUUCACUUGGUUGCAAUGCCAAGUAAGCAGAAGAAGUUUCCGUGCUUUUGGUGCUAUGCGGUUCCUGCAGGUCUGUACGACGCAAGCUUAGGAAUGCUAAAUUUACGUUGUCUGGCAAUCGUAUUUGAUCUCGACGAGACGCUCAUUGUUGCGAACACCAUGAAGUCAUUCGAGGAUAGAAUUGAGGCCAUUCGAAGUUGGAUUGUACGCGAGAAUGAUUCGUUGCGUGCGUCAGUAAUGACUGCCGAAAUGAAGCGGUACAUAGAUGAUCGAGCGCUAUUGAAGCAGUACACAGAGAAUGACACCGUGGUCGAUAAUAAUGGGAAGCCAUUUAAUGCUCAAUUGGAGGAGGUUCCACCACUAUCUGAUAACCAUGAAAGAGUUGUUCGGCCAGUAAUUAGAUUGCAAGAAAAGAAUAUUGUCCUCACUCGUAUCAAUCCUGAUAAUCGUGAUACCAGUGUGCUUGUGAGGUUACGACCUGCGUGGGAGGAUCUGAGAAGUUAUUUAACUGCAAAAGGAAGGAAACGGUUUGAAGUUUAUGUAUGUACAAUGGCAGAAAGAGAUUAUGCCCUGGAAAUGUGGAGGCUUCUUGACCCGGAGGCACAUCUUAUAGAUUCAAAGCAACUUUUGGACCGUGUUAUCUGUGUCAAAUCAGGCUCCAGGAAAUCUUUGCUAAAUGUCUUCCAAGAUGCCAUGUGCCAUCCAAAGAUGGCAAUGGUAAUUGAUGACCGUUCGAAGGUUUGGGAAGAUAAGGACCAACCACGAGUUCAUAUGGUUCCAGCAUUCACUCCUUAUUAUGCUCCUCAAGCAGAGACCGCCCAUGCUGUUCCAGUCCUCUGUGUAGCAAGAAACGUUGCAUGCAAUGUCAGAGGUUACUUUUUCAAAGAAUUUGAUGAGAAUUUAUUACGGAGAAUCUCUGAGAUCUUUUAUGAGGAUGAGGUGGUAAAUUUACCUCCUGCUCCUGAUGUUAGCAACUACAUGAUAUCAGAGGAUGCUGGAUUUGUACCAAAUGGCAAUACUAAUGCUCCCAUAAGUGAAGGAAUGAACGGUCUUGAAGUUGAACGGAGAUUAAACCCAACGGACGAGAAAUGUGCUAAUGAUUCAGCUACUCAUUCAUUGACAAAUAGUUCUGAGUAUAGACAUGAGGCCUCUAAGCCACCUGUUGCAAUCUUGCCGAAUGCCAUUGGCCCUGCAUCUUCAAGAACACUGAUGCCUUCUCAGAAACCUGGGUUGCUUGGAGCUCCAGUUAGACGAGAUUGCAUCUCCUCUGAUCGUGAUUAUGAUAUGAAGAGAGGACUCCUCACUAUGAAGCAUGGUCUAGAUUCGAGGAUUCAAAGCUCAGGUGAACCCCCCCUUUUGUCAAGAUUGCCUACACAAUCUGGAUCAUUGAUGCAGCCACAGGGUGGCUGGUUGAUGGAAGAUGAUAUUAGUCGAGGGCAUUUAAAUAGUCGACCUUCGGGAUUUGUUCCUGAAGCUGAUGCGCUAAAACCUGAUAAGCAGUCUGCACAUUUAAUGCCAUUUUCACCUAGCACACCAGGAUCUACUCCUACUGCUUUACCUUCACAAACAUCCCAAGGGAAGGUUGAAGAGGCAUGUGCUAGUUAUGAUACGCUAAAACAAAAUCUUCCACCUGCAAGUCUGCCAUCAGAGGUUGCUGGAUCUCAAAAUCAGGUGUCUACUAGCAGAGAUAUUCAAACUGAAGCUGGAAAAUCAAACAUGCUACCUUCUCCUUUAUCUAUUGGAGUACUGCAAGAGAUUGGACGAAGAUGCAACUCCAAGGUCGAGUUCAGGUCUGUUGUCAGCACCAGUAAGGAUUUGCAAUUUUCUGUUGAGGUUUUGUUCACUGGCGAGAAGAUAGGGGUUGGAAUGGGCAAGACAAGGAAAGAUGCUCAACAACAAGCUGCCGAAAAUGCCCUUCACAGCUUAGCAGAAAAAUAUGUAGCAUACAUUGCACCUCGUACUGGGGCCGUGGACACAGAUUUUGACAAGCUUUCUCUUGGGAAUGAAAAUGGAUUUCUAUGGGAUAUCUUCAGUCCUGGAGCGGAUGAACCCCUAAGAGAAGAUGGGUUGCCUAAAGAAAGCACUUCUGAGGUGGGAAUUUCUGAUGAUGCCCUUCCAUAUUUGAUUUGAUUACAUAGGUGAUGCUUGGAUAAAGGGUAUGUAGGCAAGAAUUUUCCAGAUGAGGGGUAUUGGUUACAUGGAGAGAAACCGCUCCUUUUUUGGAUUUUGCAUUGCACCCAGAUGUGAGAGCUAAAAUCACUGAAAGGGAAGUGAGCUGGCUUAAUGUCUGCUAUUGCUGCCUUACCCAGGCUCCAAUAUAUCUAAAUAAAGAGGCCAGUGAAAGUGAACCUGGGUGUCCUUCUAAUGUAUUAAAUCAGCAAGUGCAAAAGCGUGCCAAUUCCCCAAGGUUGCCGACUUCUAUUUCUAGUAAACGAUCAAAGGACGAGGUAUUUCGUGGUCCACAAAGCCUACCAUCCUUUCGACAACAGAAGAAUGGGCAUCCUAUAUCAUGAGAAACCAUAAGACGGGGGGCAUAUUUUGGACAAAAGGUUAUUGAGCUCUAAAGGUAUGUAUGCAUUUUAUAUAGUUCAAGCAUCUCUUUUGCCCGUGCGUUAGCUGAUGCCGAGGUGAAAAAUUCUUGAAAUUAAAUGUGCUUGCAAAGGUGGGCUCCAUUUUUUUUUUUUUUUUGCGUGACGCCCUACAUUUUCAUGUUUAUUUAGUGGAUAUUAAAUCAAUGGAGAAUUAUUUUUAUAUAGGCUUCCCAAGUAACAUCGCAAUUGAAAUUAUUUUGUUGCCCCAAUGUUCCGUUGAUGGCUGAUCUGUCUGGAUUUCCUUUCUUUGGGGUAUUAGAAAUGCAAGUGUUACAAUAUAUAAUUGAAGUGUUAUCUUAAA